Molecule: small nuclear RNA, 102 nt
Filed under: Nippostrongylus brasiliensis
Lineage: Eukaryota; Metazoa; Nematoda; Chromadorea; Rhabditida; Heligmosomidae
Source: RNAcentral
GUUCAUUCCUUAACAUAUACUAAAAUUGGAACAAUAGAGAGAAAAUUAACACGGCCCCUCCGCAAAAAUGACACGUAAAUUCAUGAAGCGUUCCAGAAUUUU